This 658-nucleotide ribosomal RNA is filed under the name uncultured fungus. RNAcentral's name for it is "eukaryotic LSU rRNA". It matches the Rfam family "Eukaryotic large subunit ribosomal RNA", at positions 24 to 664 of the family's 3401-position model. Lineage: Eukaryota; Fungi. The record is from RNAcentral.
CCCGCUGAACUUAAGCAUAUCAAUAAGCGGAGGAAAAGAAACUAACAAGGAUUCCCCUAGUAACUGCGAGUGAAGCGGGAAAAGCUCAAAUUUAAAAUCUGUCAGUCUUUGGCUGUCCGAGUUGUAAUCUAGAGAAGUGUUAUCCGCGCUGGACCGUGUACAAGUCUCCUGGAAUGGAGCGUCAUAGAGGGUGAGAAUCCCGUCUUUGACACGGACUGCCAGGGCUUUUGUGAUGCGCUCUCAAAGAGUCGAGUUGUUUGGGAAUGCAGCUCAAAAUGGGUGGUAAAUUCCAUCUAAAGCUAAAUAUUGGCGAGAGACCGAUAGCGAACAAGUACCGUGAGGGAAAGAUGAAAAGAACUUUGGAAAGAGAGUUAAACAGUACGUGAAAUUGCUGAAAGGGAAACGCUUGAAGUCAGUCGCGUCGUUCAGGACUCAGCCUUGCUUUGCUUGGUGUACUUCCUGUUCGACGGGUCAGCAUCAAUUUUGGUCGGUGGAUAAAGGCUUAGAGAAUGUGGCAUCUUCGGGUGUGUUAUAGCUCUGGGUCGCAUACAUCGGCUGGGAUUGAGGAACUCAGCACGCCGCAAGGCCGGGUACUUGUACCACGUACGUGCUUAGGAUGCUGGCAUAAUGGCUUUAAUCGACCCGUCUUGAAACACGG